UACGGGGGGGGCAAGCGUUGUUCGGAAUUACUGGACGUAAAGGGCUCGUAGGCGGCCAACUAAGUCGGACGUGAAAUCCCCAGGCUCAACCUGGGAACUGCGUCUGAUACUGGAUGGCUUGAGUUCGGGAGAGGGAUGCGGAAUUCCAGGUGUAGCGGUGAAAUGCGUAGAUAUCUGGAGGAACACCGGUGGCGAAGGCGGCAUCCUGGACCGACACUGACGCUGAGGAGCGAAAGCCAGGGGAGCAAACGGG
RNAcentral lists this ribosomal RNA (253 nucleotides) under uncultured bacterium. RNAcentral describes it as "partial 16S ribosomal RNA". It matches the Rfam family "Bacterial small subunit ribosomal RNA", at positions 524 to 776 of the family's 1533-position model. The record is from RNAcentral.